GAGGUGCAUAUCGCCCACCCCCAGGGUUUUAUAUUCUUUGAUUUCCAUCAUGCUCUUGCUGAUAACUUACUUGCCCUAGUUGUAGAGGUGAUCACGGAGAAGGAUAUGGCCUCAUCGGAUAAGCUAGAUAAGAAGGCCCGUCAAAAAAAGGUAGCUGAGCCUAUGGGUAGUUGGAGCAUCCGCAUCAAGACUAAAAGUCCCCUAGCACUGCC
This 212-nucleotide long non-coding RNA is filed under the name Elaeis guineensis (African oil palm). Its description in RNAcentral is "long non-coding RNA (EGUI_LNC063993)". Lineage: Eukaryota; Viridiplantae; Streptophyta; Magnoliopsida; Arecales; Arecaceae. The record is from RNAcentral.